Long non-coding RNA from Tympanuchus pallidicinctus (lesser prairie-chicken), 677 nucleotides. RefSeq lists it as uncharacterized. The transcript is spliced from 4 exons. Lineage: Eukaryota; Metazoa; Chordata; Aves; Galliformes; Phasianidae. The record is from RefSeq and is a predicted model, not a curated record.
UCCCACGGGGUCCCUCUGUGUCUCUAUGAGUCCCUAUGGGUUCCUAUGUAUCCCUAUGGGGUUCCUAUGGGGUUUGGGUCCCUGUGUGUCCCUAUUUGUCCCUAUGGGUUUCCUAUGGGACCCUGUGUGUCCCUAUGGGUUUCCUAUGGGUCCCUAUAGGGUUCCUAUGGGGUUUUGGGGUCCCUGUGUGUCCCUGUGUGUCCCUAUUUGUCCCUAUGGGUUUCCUAUGGGUCCCUAUAGGGUUCCUAUGGGGUUUUGGGGUCCCUGUGUGUCCCUGUGUGUCCCUAUGUGUCCCUAUGGGUUUCCUAUGGGUCCCUGUGUGUCCUUAUGGGUUCCUAUGGGUCCCUAUGUGUCCCUAUGUGUCCCUAUGUGUCCCUAUGGUCCCUAUGGGGUUCCUAUGGGUCCCUCUGUGUCCCUAUGUGUUCCUAUGGGUCCCUAUGUGUCCCUAUGGGUCCCUAUGGGUCCCUAUGUGUCCCUAUGGGUCCCUCUGUGUCCCUAUGUGUCCCUAUGGGUCCCUAUGUGUCCCUAUGUGUCCCUAUGGGUCCCUAUGGGUCUCUGUGUGUCCCUAUGGGUCUCUAUGUGUCCCUAUGUGUCCCUAUGGGUCCCUAUGUGUCCCUAUGGGUCUCUAUGUGUCCCUAUGGGUUCCUAUGGGGUUUUGGGGUCCCUGUGUGUCCCUA